This 107-nucleotide small nuclear RNA is filed under the name Octodon degus (degu). The record is from RNAcentral. Lineage: Eukaryota; Metazoa; Chordata; Mammalia; Rodentia; Octodontidae.
GUGCUCGCUUCGGCAGCACAUAUGCUAAAAUUGGAACGAUACAGAGAAGGUUAGCAUGGUCCCUGUGCAAGGGUGACACGCAAAUUCGUGAAGCAUUCCAUAUUUAA